UGGGGAAUAUUGGACAAUGGGCGAAAGCCUGAUCCAGCCAUGCCGCGUGUGUGAAGAAGGUCUUCGGAUUGUAAAGCACUUUAAGUUGGGAGGAAGCGCAUUAACCUAAUACGUUAGUGUUUUGACGUUACCGACAGAAUAAGCACCGGCUAACUCUGUGCCAGCAGCCGCGGUAAUACAGAGGGUGCAAGCGUUAAUCGGAAUUACUGGGCGUAAAGCGCGCGUAGGUGGUUUGUUAAGUUGGAUGUGAAAUCCCCGGGCUCAACCUGGGAACUGCAUUCAAAACUGACUGACUAGAGUAUGGUAGAGGGUGGUGGAAUUUCCUGUGUAGCGGUGAAAUGCGUAGAUAUAGGAAGGAACACCAGUGGCGAAGGCGACCACCUGGACUAAUACUGACACUGAGGUGCGAAAGCGUGGGGAGCAAACA
RNAcentral lists this ribosomal RNA (427 nucleotides) under uncultured bacterium. RNAcentral's name for it is "partial 16S ribosomal RNA". It matches the Rfam family "Bacterial small subunit ribosomal RNA", at positions 355 to 774 of the family's 1533-position model. The record is from RNAcentral.